This is a long non-coding RNA of Theobroma umbraticum, 2598 nucleotides long. RefSeq lists it as uncharacterized. The record is from RefSeq and is a predicted model, not a curated record. Lineage: Eukaryota; Viridiplantae; Streptophyta; Magnoliopsida; Malvales; Malvaceae.
UUUAUUUUCUCCGACCCCAAGCUUUUUAGUCCUAGCCUUGGAAUUAUAUCCUUGUAGCUUACCCCUCUUAUUACCAUUGUUUUGUUUUAAACAACCCAAGGUAACAUGUCAAAGCUCAAUCAAUUCCUAGUGGUCCAUCCACUCAAGUGUAAGAAAAAAAAAACAAAUAUUACAAUUUGCUGCUACGGUCAUGGCUGUCAAAUAUUUCAUCUGAUAAUGAAGGUUCCAGGAUGUCGGCAACUCCCACAAGUCUCCCCAUUAUUGACAUACCUAACCUUAACUUCCUGUGUGCCUGGACCUCUGGACUGAGCCAUGGCUAACUAUGGUGCAAAAUUUGGUGGUUCCUGUAGACCUGAAGAAGAAGAAGAAGAAAACGUGGGAGCAGAAAUAUCCCUUUCCGCAAACGGUGCCACCCUGACAUACCUGCUGUAACCUGUUGCAGAGGUCAAGGAAGGGGAGCUUUUUAGAGUUGCAAUGGUGGACUGUGAUGGAGGUAUAAUAAAAAAUAACGACUCCGCAGAUGAUGUCAAGCAUGCUGAUCCAUACAUGGCGUGAGUUCAAUUUUAAUUUCUUUCUGUUUUCCAAAUUCUACUGCAUAUAUAAUUGCCAGUGUUUAAAGAUCAAUAACCUCCUUGAUAAGCCCUCAGUAACUGUAGUUGUCCUGAAGAUCAGACAAUGGUCAACGUGUUAGAAGCACAAGUUUUCUUCUGAACAUCAAGGGUAACCAAGUUAAACGAAAAUGGGGACCAUUUGGAAGGAUUGUCACUCCCAUUUGUCAGCCAGUAAUUGUAUGGGAGUUAAACCUCCUUCUCCAAUGGAUGCCAUUUGGAUAGACUGACAAUUCUGCAACAAGUAUCUCCAUGAUCUACCACUCCCAGUGGCAUUCCAAGACUAAUAAAAGCCAAUAGACAGGAUGAAGAAGCGCUGGGUGUAAGCUCUACAACUUACAUCCUUGGUUGCAGGGUAGAUGUUGCGAACUGGAGAGAAGGCCCAUUAUCUCAGUGGACCAAUAUAAUUUGUGGACAAAGACGGUAUACCAGCCAAGCAAGGCCACCGUCUGGCAGUGAAAAUAUGUAACCUGGGUCCUCUGCCUGGGGAUGAAUGAGACUAUACCGCAACAUUUGACAGAGAAAAUGGAGGACGUUGUUUGGCCGACCAUUUUCCUUGUGUGCCUAAAGCUAUUUGGUACCUGGAAGGGAUUUUUGCCAACUCUCCUCAUGUAGCCGGUGAAUUUUCAUCCCAUUACCCUACGUUAAAACCAAUUAAUCAUUUCAAAGUAUCUUAAAUUAAGUUACAAUGGUGGUCGAAAGUGACUUCAAGAAUGCUGUCCAGUGGAUUAAUGCACCCGAGAAAGCCCCAUGGAGAAUGAGAGAGUGGAUCCUCCACAUCGAGAUGUUAAAAAGAAAAGUUGUUCAAUGGGAGGUACAGCAUAUCUUCAGGGAAGCCAACCAACAAGCUGAUAACUUGGCAAAAACAGGGAUAAGAAGGGUUGAAAAUCUGCUCAACGUUUGGGGGGAGGCAUCAAAUAACGACGCUAGAGCCUGAUGACAGUUGUUUCAUUGUUCAACUUUUUUCUUCAGCUGUUGUUGCAGAGGAUCUUUAUAAAGGGGCGGUUUCGCCUUUUCAAAAAAAAAAAUAAAAAUUAAGUUACUACAAUCAUGCACAAAAAUCGAAAACAGUUCAGUGGCUAACGAAGUUACAUAGAAGGGGGUGAGAUUUUCAGGUUUGCCUCACCCUGGAGUGAUUGGAACUGCACCAUCGUGGAACUCCUGAAUAUUGGGAAUGAGAGAGAAAGAGAAGUUGCAGAAAAUAGCCUAAGGUACCAAGAACUAUGCGAAGUUUUGCAUUCGCGACCAUUGGCAAACCUGCCAUGCACAAAAAGCUACCUAUUGGGGAAGGUACUAAAAUCAAUGUAAGUGCCUAAUAUUUCAAUGUCUGUGCAUAUAAAACCUUUUAGAUGCAAUUUCCAGCCACACCAGACUAGAGUUUCAAAGAAUCGGGACUUGAAAGUAAUUAUUCUAACAUGUGAUGGCUAUCUGGAGAUACCCAAGGGCACCUCUGAAUGGGAAAAGAUAACUAAGGGGGCUGCAACGACUGUUCCAGGGACAGAAAUGGAGGAAAUUGUGGACAUCAAAAACUUUAGCCCCGUUUCAAAAAUAUACCUUCCUGUGUUUGCUGCAGUGAAUCUCAGCAUGCACUUUUCUCAAGACGAUGGCGAAAUAUCCUUUUGCGGGGCAAUUGAGAUGAGUGGUUUUCUGGAGCUUAAGUACGUUUUUAACCUCAAAUCUGAGCAUCCUGGCAUACAGACGCUAGUCAAGAUGUUUCUACACAUUUCCCUCAAUACAUUUUCAUAAAAUUUUUUGAUUAUCUACAUCUCAUCCAGCAAAACAUGUCCUGUCGGAUGUAGUGCAUUCGAAGAUAAUUUCAUCCAGCAAAACAUGUCCUGUUGGAUGUAGUGCAUUCGAAGUUAAUUUCAUGACUUAGAAUAAGCAAAGGAGUCCGCUUCAUGCUUUUGAUACGAGUACCAUAUAUUGUCUACUACUAGUUAUAUGACAGAUAUUGGAUAAAUUCAGGUAGUGGUUAAAUAUACAGUGGCAG